Molecule: transfer RNA, 75 nt
Rfam family: tRNA
About the family: Transfer RNA (tRNA) molecules are approximately 80 nucleotides in length. Their secondary structure includes four short double-helical elements and three loops (D, anti-codon, and T loops). Further hydrogen bonds mediate the characteristic L-shaped molecular structure. tRNAs have two regions of fundamental functional importance: the anti-codon, which is responsible for specific mRNA codon recognition, and the 3' end, to which the tRNAs corresponding amino acid is attached (by aminoacyl-tRNA synthetases). tRNAs cope with the degeneracy of the genetic code in two manners: having more than one tRNA (with a specific anti-codon) for a particular amino acid; and 'wobble' base-pairing, i.e. permitting non-standard base-pairing at the 3rd anti-codon position.
Source: Rfam
GGGGGUGUAGCUCAGUUAGCGUAGAGCACUUGUCUGUCGAACAAGUCGUCGCGGGUUCGAGUCCCGUCACUCCCG